UUUUUCAGGGGAUUUUGAAUAGAAUUUGCAAAGGAAAUUGCAAAUUUCACAUAGGAAAAUGGGUCAGUGGGUUGGGAAUUAAAGAACUGGAUGACAAUUUCUCCUAACGGUGUGGGCUUUAAAAGAUUAUUAAAACUUUUCAUGUCUUAGCCAUUUGCAAGUGAGAGAAACAUUAACUUCUAUUUACUAAAAAUCUUUGAGCUCUACAGGUAUGAUCAACACCCAAGCAUGUCAGAACAGUAAUGUGGUUUCAAACUCAUGAGAUAAUUUUACAGAAAUUAGUAUCAACAAAAUGAAAGUUUUGUCCCUUCAGUUAUUAUUUUCAGAUUAAUCCCUUUAAAGAGUCCUUUAUAAUAUCAGACUGCAGGCAAUAAUGGUGUUACUUCUACUUUAAUUAAAUUGUAUUUGCUACUAUGACAUACUGCUACUAUGACAUCAAUGACUGCAAUGUAUGCUAAAUUCCACAACAGCUUUUUUUCAGAAUUUUCUAAAGCUGAGCCAUUAAAAAGAAGCAGCAUACUUCUACUUCAGUUUUCGGGUAGUUACCAUACCUGUAGUUACGAUAGAGAUAAAUGCCACAGCAACAAAAAAGACAACAAAAAUAAUUUCUAUCCUCAUCUGGAACCAGCGCAGUGUCGACAGGAAGAAACCUGCAGUGGGUGCUUUUGCUACUACAUCCACACAAAUUCAAGGAAGGAUUUAAAUUCCCAGUAUUCCAAGUCAGAGGUCUUUCAUGAACAGAGAAAUCUGACUUUGCUCCUUAGCAGAGUCCAUGGAAGUCUGAAUCUAUGGAGGACCAGAAGAAAUUGGUUGUGAAGGAAUGACUGUUAAAAUUAUUCAAGAUGAUGGUUGAAUCUGGGCAGCAGCAGGGAUACUUGUCCUGUGGGGGUCUGCAGGGUAAAAAUAUUUCUGAGCCUGAGUAGUAAGAGUGGUUUGCAUAAACAGUGGAGGUAAGUACACACAGAGGCAAGCACUCAAAAAUUAAGCAAUACAGUUGAACUACUGCUAUAAGACAGCAAAAGUUACAACUUUUAUUCUACAAACCUGAAUGAAGUCAAAUACUGUAAGUGGAAGUAAAUCA
Passer domesticus (house sparrow) is the source of this 1081-nucleotide long non-coding RNA. RefSeq lists it as uncharacterized. Lineage: Eukaryota; Metazoa; Chordata; Aves; Passeriformes; Passeridae. The transcript has 4 exons. The record is from RefSeq and is a predicted model, not a curated record.